UAGGGAAUCUUGCGCAAUGGGCGAAAGCCUGACGCAGCCAUGCCGCGUGAAUGAUGAAGGUCUUAGGAUUGUAAAAUUCUUUCACCGGGGACGAUAAUG
This 99-nucleotide ribosomal RNA is filed under the name uncultured bacterium. RNAcentral's name for it is "partial 16S ribosomal RNA". It matches the Rfam family "Bacterial small subunit ribosomal RNA", at positions 355 to 453 of the family's 1533-position model. The record is from RNAcentral.